Molecule: ribosomal RNA, 253 nt
Filed under: uncultured bacterium
Lineage: Bacteria
Description: partial 16S ribosomal RNA
Rfam family: Bacterial small subunit ribosomal RNA
Source: RNAcentral
UACGAAGGGUGCAAGCGUUACUCGGAAUUACUGGGCGUAAAGCGUGCGUAGGUGGUUCGUUAAGUCUGAUGUGAAAGCCCUGGGCUCAACCUGGGAAUGGCAUUGGAAACUGGCGACCUAGAGUGCGGUAGAGGGUAGUGGAAUUCCCGGUGUAGCAGUGAAAUGCGUAGAGAUCGGGAGGAACACCGAUGGCGAAGGCAGCCUCCUGGGCCAACACUGACGCUCAUGCACGAAAGCGUGGGGAGCAAACAGG